ACAAUGGAGAGUUUGAUCCUGGCUCAGGAUGAACGCUGGCGGCGUGCCUAAUACAUGCAAGUCGAACGCGAGCCUUCGG
Molecule: ribosomal RNA, 79 nt
Filed under: Erysipelatoclostridium sp. An15
Lineage: Bacteria; Bacillati; Bacillota; Erysipelotrichia; Erysipelotrichales; Coprobacillaceae
Description: partial 16S ribosomal RNA
Rfam family: Bacterial small subunit ribosomal RNA
Source: RNAcentral